UACAGAGGUGGCAAGCGUUGUUCGGAAUUACUGGGCGUAAAGGGCGCGUAGGCGGCCAUCUAAGUCAGACGUGAAAUCCCCCGGCUUAACCUGGGAACUGCGUCUGAUACUGGACGGCUCGAGUUUGGGAGAGGGAUGCAGAAUUCCAGGUGUAGCGGUGAAAUGCGUAGAUAUCUGGAGGAAUACCGGUGGCGAAGGCGGCAUCCUGGACCGAGAUUGACACUGAGGAGCGAAAGCCAGGGGAGCAAACGGG
Molecule: ribosomal RNA, 253 nt
Filed under: uncultured bacterium
Lineage: Bacteria
Description: partial 16S ribosomal RNA
Rfam family: Bacterial small subunit ribosomal RNA
Source: RNAcentral